Molecule: ribosomal RNA, 474 nt
Filed under: uncultured bacterium
Lineage: Bacteria
Description: bacterial SSU rRNA
Rfam family: Bacterial small subunit ribosomal RNA
Source: RNAcentral
AUUGAACGCUGGCGGAAUGCUUUACACAUGCAAGUCGAACGGCAGCACGGGGCAACCUGGUGGCGAGUGGCGAACGGGUGAGUAAUACAUCGGAACGUGCCCAAUCGUGGGGGAUAACGUAGCGAAAGCUACGCUAAUACCGCAUACGAUCUACGGAUGAAAGCGGGGGAUCGCAAGACCUCGCGCGAAUGGAGCGGCCGAUGGCAGAUUAGGUAGUUGGUGGGGUAAAGGCUCACCAAGCCUGCGAUCUGUAGCUGGUCUGAGAGGACGACCAGCCACACUGGAACUGAGACACGGUCCAGACUCCUACGGGAGGCAGCAGUGGGGAAUUUUGGACAAUGGGCGCAAGCCUGAUCUAGCCAUGCCGCGUGAGCGAUGAAGGCCUUAGGGUUGUAAAGCUCUUUCAGGGGGGAAGAUAAUGACUGUACCCCCAGAAGAAGCCCCGGCUAACUCCGUGCCAGCAGCCGCGGUAAU